This 769-nucleotide long non-coding RNA is filed under the name Zea mays. RNAcentral describes it as "long non-coding RNA (ZMAY_LNC005547)". The record is from RNAcentral. Lineage: Eukaryota; Viridiplantae; Streptophyta; Magnoliopsida; Poales; Poaceae.
GAGGAGCAUGGAAAUGGUUGCGUACAUGUACCUAGACAUGCAAGAUAUUUUCAUCUAAAACUUCAAAGCCAAAGCCAUCUGGAGGGCUAUAAUCGACAGGAAAUACAUUUGUAAAUAUAUGCAAUUUAACCACCACAGAGUCAAAUUCCCUUCAAAAAAAUCAAAAUUCGAUCCAUUGUGCUAAUGAAUGGAAUAGACAGAACUAAUUGUGGUGUAAGAAGAAUAAGAACCUGUGAAGAUGAACCAAAAGUUCUUGAGCCACACUAUAUAACCUCUAAGCCUUUGCCAGCUUUACACUUUUUCUUAUCUUGGUAAUCGAUUCUUGCAAAAUGCAAAGAAUCGAAGCCAAGCUACAGUUUGCAAUAAAAAAUGUUAUAUUCAUAUGUUUUGCACAGUCGCAUGUUGAUUGUCAAGAAAAAAAAUGUAUUGAGAAUUAAACACAGGAAAAUCACUAAGGCUUAACAUUUGCAUCCACCGUACAAAUAUAAUAUUCAUUUAGUAACUUUAAUUAGUAUAUCAUGUGCCUACAAUGCCAGACUGAAAAAUGAUAAUUAUGAGAAUUGUAUUUUCUGUUUAGAAAAAUGUAGGAGCUUAUCAUACUGGUUUUGGUAAAAAAAUGGCUUCAUCCCAAAUAUGAUGUUAAUAGUAGUUACCUCUGCUCCAAGCAAAUAAGCUUGAACUGCAGAAUGUCCAAAAGGAUCGAUUUGCCAGCCAGCUCUUGGAGUCUUGUUGAAUUGUUUCUUGAUCAUCCGGUGACCAAGCGUGGUCU